RNAcentral lists this ribosomal RNA (426 nucleotides) under uncultured archaeon. Its description in RNAcentral is "bacterial SSU rRNA". It matches the Rfam family "Archaeal small subunit ribosomal RNA", at positions 322 to 747 of the family's 1478-position model. The record is from RNAcentral.
CCUAUGGGGGGCAGCAGGGACGAAAACUUUACAAUGCACGAAAGUGUGAUAAGGGGAUUCUAAGUGAUAUAGCUUAUGGUUAUAUCUGUGGAGAAAUGUAAAAUGUUUCUCAAGAAAGGGGUGGGCAAUAUCGGUGCCAGCAGCCGCGGUAAUACCGGAGCCCCGAGUGGUGACCCUAUUUAUUGGGCCUAAAGCGUCUGUAGCCGGAUUAUUAAGUUCUCGGUGAAAUUGUUAGGCUUAACCUAACGAAUGGCCUUGAAUACUGGUAAUCUAGGGAUCGGGAGAGGUCAAGAGUAUGCCUAGGGGAGGGGUAAAAUCCAUUAAUCCUAGGUGGACUACCAAUGGCAAAGGCACUUGACUAGAACGAGUCCGACGGUGAGAGACGAAAGCUAGGGUAGCAAACGGGAUUAGAUACCCGGGUAGUCC